RNAcentral lists this ribosomal RNA (523 nucleotides) under Cryptococcus sp. F1-3-9. RNAcentral's name for it is "eukaryotic LSU rRNA". The stretch from base 167 to 320 matches the Rfam family "5.8S ribosomal RNA". The record is from RNAcentral. Lineage: Eukaryota; Fungi; Basidiomycota; Tremellomycetes; Tremellales; Cryptococcaceae.
CUUCCGUAGGUGAACCUGCGGAAGGAUCAUUAAUAGUGCCCUCUGAUGCAAAUCAUUGGGUUAGAUCUGCUCUCUUCGCAAGAAGAGGGUUUCCAUACACACCGUGAACUGUGGCUUCGGCCAUCACAAACUGUUAGUAAUGAAUGUAAUAUCAUAACAAAAACAAAACUUUUAACAACGGAUCUCUUGGCUCUCGCAUCGAUGAAGAACGCAGCGAAAUGCGAUAAGUAAUGUGAAUUGCAGAAUUCAGUGAAUCAUCGAAUCUUUGAACGCACCUUGCGCCCUUUGGUAUUCCGAAGGGCAUGCCUGUUUGAGUGUCAUGAAACCUCACCCCACUUGGGUUUUUGCCUGAGCGGUGGUGUAUUGGGUGUUGCCUUGCUAAAGGCUCGCCUUAAAGACAUAAGCACCUUGGAUGUAAUACGUUUCAUCCUUCUGGGUGGCUGAUAACCCCACAUAUUCAUGAUCUGGCCUCAAAUCAGGUAGGGCUACCCGCUGAACUUAAGCAUAUCAAUAAGCGGAGGAA